Molecule: long non-coding RNA, 672 nt
Filed under: Gallus gallus (chicken)
Lineage: Eukaryota; Metazoa; Chordata; Aves; Galliformes; Phasianidae
Source: RNAcentral
CUUGGGUUGAGUUUCAGGGUCAUUUCCACUUUCCUGUGGAAAAAGCUACCCGUCUCACUGAAAAACUGGCAGGCUAAAGGUCUUUUGGCACCUCUGCCUCCCAUUAUAGUUUUGGAUUGCAAGUGAGGCUCACACUUCCCUGCUUAGAGAAUGUCCUCCCUUUCCUUGUUCCCUUUGUGUGUGUGUUUUUUGUUGCUUUUAUUUUAAACAGCAUUUUUCAUGUUGUUUUCCCUGUAGGGCAGUGAGUGACAAGGUUUAGCCAGGGUAAGCUUCAGCCAUCAGGAAGAACAAUCAAAACAUAUUUUUAUUUCUCUGGGUUUCUGGAGAGCUGUGGUAGAAUAUGACAAAACAUAAGCAAAGCUAUUUUCAGCAGAGGUCUUUAUCCCACAAACUUUGUACUGAAAUUGUACCAGAGCUCCUUGCUGCCCCAGGCAUCCCACACUCCCCGAGGCUGUUCCCAGAGCUUCAAACUUUCCGCAGAAGCUUCUGGAGUUGGUGUUUUACCCCAAGAUGUGUUUUGAUAUUGAUGGCAAAGCUAAAAAGGGGAGAGCCUUAAAAGAAAGAAGCAGAAGCUUGCAGCUAAAUGUGGACAUCAUUAUCACAUUUUUAGUGACUGAAGAUACCUGUUGGAAUUGGUGAGGCUGGUGUCUCAGAACUGUGUUGCAAUUUGGC